Molecule: ribosomal RNA, 302 nt
Filed under: uncultured bacterium
Lineage: Bacteria
Description: bacterial SSU rRNA
Rfam family: Bacterial small subunit ribosomal RNA
Source: RNAcentral
UGGCGCGAUUGGAUGAGCCCACGUCGGAUUAGCUAGUUGGCGGGGUAAAGGCCCACCAAGGCGACGAUCCGUAGCUGGUCUGAGAGGAUGAUCAGCCACACUGGAACUGAGACACGGUCCAGACUCCUACGGGAGGCAGCAGUAGGGAAUAUUGGACAAUGGGCGCAAGCCUGAUCCAGCCAUGCCGCGUGAGUGAAGAAGGCCCUCGGGUUGUAAAGCUCUUUUGUCCGGAAAGAAAAGCGCCGGGUUAAUACCCUGGUGUCCUGACGGUACCGGAAGAAUAAGCACCGGCUAACUUCGUG